This is a long non-coding RNA of Juglans microcarpa x Juglans regia, 156 nucleotides long. RefSeq lists it as uncharacterized. Lineage: Eukaryota; Viridiplantae; Streptophyta; Magnoliopsida; Fagales; Juglandaceae. The record is from RefSeq and is a predicted model, not a curated record. The transcript is spliced from 5 exons.
GUUUUCUUUAAUGGUAAUAAAUGGAAAUCAUAAGGUAAGGAACAAAGAGGUACUAUAAAUCUGGAAUUUUCGUAAGGAAAGGCAUUUUGACAGUUUUGCAUCAUCAUGUGGAAGGUAGAUCCAACAAGGGGUAAUGCUCAUAAAAGAGUCGACUUU